AGUCUGGUGCCAGCAGCCGCGGUAAUUCCAGCUCCAAUAGCGUAUAUUAAUGUUGUUGUAGUUAAAAAGCUCGUAGUUGAAUUUGGGGAGUCGCUUUUUGGCGGAUGGUCCGGGGCGAAAGUCUCGCGUACCACUGCCUAGGCUCUCUUUGAAAGCAUUAAGCUUUCAUGGACCUUUCUCAAUGGCCGCUUCGGUGGUUGUUGGGGAAAUUUUACUUUGAGAAAAUUAGAGUGUUCAAAGCAGGCAAUUUUACUUGGUGGCCCCGGGCUUGCUCGGAUCGCUGCCGAUAACUGGUCGUUGAAUACUACAGCAUGGGAUAAUGAAAUAGGACCUUUAUUUCUAUUUUAUGGGUUUUGUCUGAAAAUCUAGAAAGGAGGUAAUGAUGAAUAGGAACAGCUGGGGGCAUUAGUACUUCGUUGUUAGAGGUGAAAUUCUUAGAUUGGCGAAAGACUGCCUUCUGCGAAAGCAUUUGUCAAGAAUGUUUUCAUUGAUCAAGAACGAAAGUUAGGGGAUCAAAGGUGAUCAGAUACCGCUGUAGUCUUAACUAUAAACGAUGCCGACCAAGGAUCGGGAGACGUAUUAUUUAAAGAGGCAGUGGCUUCGGUUGCUGACCUCGAAUGACUCCCUCGGGACUUUGAGAGAAAUCAUUGAGUUUCUGGGCUUUAGGGGGAGUAUGGUCGCAAGGCUGAAACUUAAAGGAAUUGACGGGAGGGCACACCAGGAGUGGAGCUUGCGGCUUAAUUCGACCCAACUCGGGAAAACUCACGAGGACCGGACAUAAGAAGGAUUGACAGAUUGAGAGCUCUUUCUUGAUUUUAUGGGUGGUGGUGCAUGGCCGUUCUUAGUUGGUGGAGUGAUUUGUCUGGUUAAUUCCGUUCAACGAACGAGACCAGAACCUGCUAAAUAGUGAGCGUAAGGUGGUAUUGAAUAUAGGGUCUUGGGCUUCGGUUCGAGAUACCAUUCGUUACCGCUCAACCUUGCGUAUCCUCACUUCUUAGAGGGACUCUCCAUUUCCAGUGAAGGGAAGCGUCUGGCAAUAACAGGUCUGUGAUGCCCUUAGCUGUCCUCGGCAGCACGCGAACUACAAUGUAGAGAGCACGGAGUAAAUCUACCUUGGCCGAAGGGUCUGGGUAAUCUUUGAAACCUCUACGUACUUGGGAUAGGUCAUUGUAAUGUUGGCCUUCAACGAGGAAUUCCUAGUAAACGUGACUCAUCAAGUCACAUUGACUACGUCCCUGCCCUUUGUACACACCGCCCGUCGCUCCUACCGAUUGAAUGGUCCGGUGAAAAGUUUGGAUUGUUUGACGUUAAAGUGAACUUGUUCAUUUUGUUAGACGAGAAAUUCUUUGAACCUUACCAUUU
RNAcentral lists this ribosomal RNA (1362 nucleotides) under metagenome. RNAcentral's name for it is "SSU rRNA". It matches the Rfam family "Eukaryotic small subunit ribosomal RNA", at positions 558 to 1774 of the family's 1831-position model. The record is from RNAcentral.